This 360-nucleotide ribosomal RNA is filed under the name uncultured Campylobacterota bacterium. Its description in RNAcentral is "bacterial SSU rRNA". It matches the Rfam family "Bacterial small subunit ribosomal RNA", at positions 831 to 1191 of the family's 1533-position model. Lineage: Bacteria; Pseudomonadati; Campylobacterota. The record is from RNAcentral.
GUUACUCGGUGGAUGCCACUUAACCAGAUAAGCAUUCCGCCUGGGAGUACGGUCGCAAGAUUAAAACUCAAAGGAAUAGACGGGGACCCGCACAAGUGGUGGAGCAUGUGGUUUAAUUCGAAGAUACACGAAGAACCUUACCUGGCCUUGACAUGGUAGGAAUCCUGUAGAGAUACGGGAGUGCUAGCUUGCUAGAACCUACACACAGGUGCUGCACGGCUGUCGUCAGCUCGUGUCGUGAGAUGUUGGGUUAAGUCCCGCAACGAGCGCAACCCUCGUCGUUAGUUGCUAACAGUUCGGCUGAGCACUCUAACAAGACUGCCUUCGCAAGGAGGAGGAAGGUGAGGACGACGUCAAGUC